AACGAACGCUGGCGGCAUGCCUAACACAUGCAAGUCGAACGAGACCUUCGGGUCUAGUGGCGCACGGGUGCGUAACGCGUGGGAACCUGCCCUUAGGUUCGGAAUAACUCCCCGAAAGGGGUGCUAAUACCGGAUAAUGUCUUCGGACCAAAGAUUGAUCGCCUUUGGAUGGGCCGGCGUUGGAUUAGCUAGUUGGUAGGGUAAAAGCCUACCAAUGCGACGAUCCAUAGCUGGUCUGAGAGGAUGAUCAGCGACACUGGUACUGAGACACGGCCCAGACUACUACGGGAGGCAGCAGUGGGGAAUAUUGGACAAUGGGCGAAAGCCUGAUCCAGCAAUGCCGCGUGAGUGAUGAAGGCCUUAGGGUUGUAAAGCUCUUUUACCCGGGAUGAUAAUGACAGUACCGGGAGAAUAAGCUCCGGCUAACUCCGUG
RNAcentral lists this ribosomal RNA (433 nucleotides) under uncultured bacterium. RNAcentral describes it as "partial 16S ribosomal RNA". It matches the Rfam family "Bacterial small subunit ribosomal RNA", at positions 29 to 507 of the family's 1533-position model. The record is from RNAcentral.